CUGUAGAGCAUCUCUGCCCCCUUUUCACUUUCAGAAUGCAAGCUCCUUGAGGCCAGGACUUUGGAUUUUUUGCCACUGCUCUAUUUCUGACACCACGAGUAGUGCCUGGCCCAUAGGAAGAGCUCAAUCGUUAUUUGCUGAGUGUUGAGUGAAUGAAGACCUCCUAUCAGGUCUCGGCUUGACUGUAUCCUCCAUGCUUGCCCCAGGGAACCCUAUAUUUAGAAGGCAUAAAGAAUCCAGAGUGUUUAUAGAAGGACUUCUGGGAGACUGUGAACUCCAUGGAACUGAAUGCAAAACUUUUGUAUCACUGCUUACGUGCCUUUUUCGAGGACAAGAAUCUACAACUUCAUCAGAUUCUCAAGUACCAUGUGGCUGAAGAUACAUUAACAUUCACUGCCCAACAGUGGACGUAUCCAAAGCGGAUCCAUCUCUAACACAUUCAAGACGCUCCCUAGAGUGGUUGAUGUGAUUGUCCAAGGUGACAGCAUCUUCAUUUCCACAUAUACUCCGGGUCUGGCUCUAGAGAGAAAUCCACUGGGCCUGGUAAAUUAUAUA
This is a long non-coding RNA of Hippopotamus amphibius kiboko, 555 nucleotides long. RefSeq lists it as uncharacterized. The record is from RefSeq and is a predicted model, not a curated record. The transcript is spliced from 3 exons. Lineage: Eukaryota; Metazoa; Chordata; Mammalia; Artiodactyla; Hippopotamidae.